UUAUCGUUUAGUGAAAAGAUGCACAAAACCAGAUAGAAAAGAGUUCCAAAAAAUUGCUAUUGCUACUGCUAUUGGAUUCGCCAUCAUGGGCUUCAUUGGAUUCUUUGUGAAAUUGAUCCACAUUCCAAUCAACAACAUCAUUGUAGGCACUUAAAAUAUUUAACGAUGGUUACAGAAUAAAGAUUAGUUUUAUCAAAUGAAA
Molecule: long non-coding RNA, 202 nt
Organism: Panonychus citri (citrus red mite)
Lineage: Eukaryota; Metazoa; Arthropoda; Arachnida; Trombidiformes; Tetranychidae
Exons: 3
Source: RefSeq, a predicted model, not a curated record